AACACUGUUUCCCCACCCCUCUCAACAUUGGACAAAUACAUCAGUACAGUUGCAAUCCGGUGACCACCCAGCUCCUGAUUAGCCUUGUCAUGAAAAUAAUCGAAAUGAGGUUCAUACUUCUGACCAUUCUCAUAAUGCAGUAUUUGGAUGGACUCUCCAUUUUCUUCUGGAAGGAAAGUCCAUGCAGCAAUCCUGGCCUCAAUAUCAGCAACAAUUUUAUCCUG
RNAcentral lists this unclassified non-coding RNA (224 nucleotides) under Hevea brasiliensis (rubber tree). The record is from RNAcentral. Lineage: Eukaryota; Viridiplantae; Streptophyta; Magnoliopsida; Malpighiales; Euphorbiaceae.